Molecule: transfer RNA, 84 nt
Filed under: Chlorobiota bacterium
Lineage: Bacteria; Pseudomonadati; Chlorobiota
Description: tRNA-Leu
Rfam family: tRNA
About the family: Transfer RNA (tRNA) molecules are approximately 80 nucleotides in length. Their secondary structure includes four short double-helical elements and three loops (D, anti-codon, and T loops). Further hydrogen bonds mediate the characteristic L-shaped molecular structure. tRNAs have two regions of fundamental functional importance: the anti-codon, which is responsible for specific mRNA codon recognition, and the 3' end, to which the tRNAs corresponding amino acid is attached (by aminoacyl-tRNA synthetases). tRNAs cope with the degeneracy of the genetic code in two manners: having more than one tRNA (with a specific anti-codon) for a particular amino acid; and 'wobble' base-pairing, i.e. permitting non-standard base-pairing at the 3rd anti-codon position.
Source: RNAcentral
GCUUGGAUGGCGGAAUUGGUAGACGCUCAGGACUUAAAAUCCUGUGACCGCAAGGUCGUGUGGGUUCAAGUCCCACUCCGAGUA